CAGCUCUAGACACAAAGCCAAUGGGACUCCCAGACAGCAGAAAUGGGGCCUCGAGAUCCACUCCCACCCCCGACCCCAUCAGACACACUCAGGUGCAGAGGGAGGGAUGCAUCAAAGAAUGGCAGGAAUCGGGCCACUCCCACAAACCCCAGGAAAAACCCUAGGUGUGGCCUACCUAGGGUCCCCACCUCACACUUGAGAUCCCAGAGCUCUGCAGACCUGACAUAUGUUCCUCUUCCCACUCUUGAGAUAGGACGGCACCCUACUCCUGGACCCCUAGGACACCCAGGUACCACAUCCCUGCCAGGGAUGCCCAGAUAUACUAACUACACAGUGCCUCCGCCCUGCCGAUGCGCGUGCCCAGACACACAGGAACCUGCCUCCACACUCGAAACACUGCUACACACACACACACACACACACACGGAGACCUACAGACAUGCUGCAAAAGAGGGCUGAGCCACCCAGACACAUGGCCUUUCAAGUCCGAGACGUUCCAGUAACGCUGCCGUGAACCAUGCCUGCACGCCUACCGGUGACACUGAGGUUCACGGCCUCUGAGAUACACUGCCCCACGUGUCGGAGACAUCAAGGUCCACAGAAACACACAGCACACAAGACGACCAGGGCCCGUGCGCACACAUUCCUCAACUAUGCGGGCAUACGGCCCCUCAGCUCCGAGAUGCCCAGGCUCACCGCCUGGUCGGCACCCGAGACAGCCACGCCUGAAAUCACUGGGUAUUUGUGACCGGCGGUCAGGUGCAGGCUGAGCUAAGCUCGGGCACUGCCCACUGUUGCCGGGUGCACAGUCCCUUCCACACCCACCUGCGCUCAGCUGCAGGAGCCCUGCCCGCACACCUGAGUCACUCAAUCCGACCGGGCUUCCAGGCAACUCCCCCAGUCUGAGCUAACCAAGGCCGGGAGCUGUGGGCGCUGCCUGCACCGCGCUCUCCCUUACACGCACCUGGACGCCCCCCUCCACCUUUAGUUAAACCCUGACGAAGGGCUGAACUAGGGACCGGGCGCACGGAGAGGCGAGGAGGGAGGAGGCCGGGACCCAGGGAGACCGCCAGCAAGGGGUCCCAGAGAGGAAGUCACCAGUCUCAGGACGUCUGGUGUGUCUCCUUCUGUCCCAAGGAAGGAUGUGCAAGCUGUCCCCAAAGUCCCUUGGGGGGAACACACCCCCCAUCCUGAAAGAGAGCACAAGCAGGGGGAGUGGCAGGCAGAGGGAGAAGGAGCAGCAGGCUCCCCGACCAGCAAGGAGCCCAAUGCAGGACUUGACCCCGGACCCUGAGAUCGUGACCCUGACCGGACGGCAGACGCUUCACCAACUGAGCCACCCAGGCACCCCUAGAGGGAAGGUUUCUAAGGAAACACCACCAAUCUGAUGUAACAGGUGCCACAAGAGAGACACGUCUAGGGAAGGGACACUCUGCUCUGCUUGAGGAGCUCCGAGCAGGCUUCUCGGAAGAGGUGAUGUUGGAGGCAAGGGCAUUCGGGUAUGCAGACGAGCCCAGGCAAAGGCAAGAAGCCGGGCGCAAACAAAGGGUUUGGGCAACUACCAGUGAUGCAGUGUGGCUCUGGGGUGGGCAGAGCUGCGGAGAUGCAGAACCCCAGGGGACCAGACUGCAGAGGACACUCACUGCUGAGAAGUACACACAUGCAUGAGAGCCAGGGACAGUCCAUCAGACGCUUAGCGCUGCCGUUAACCUUGAGGGAGAUGCCAAAGAGG
Molecule: long non-coding RNA, 1732 nt
Organism: Mustela lutreola (European mink)
Lineage: Eukaryota; Metazoa; Chordata; Mammalia; Carnivora; Mustelidae
Exons: 3
Source: RefSeq, a predicted model, not a curated record